UGGGGAAUUUUGCGCAAUGGGGGAAACCCUGACGCAGCAACGCCGCGUGAGUGAUGAAGGCCCUUGGGUCGUAAAGCUCUGACAGAGGGAAAGAAGUGUAUUGUGGCUAAUAUCCACGAUACUUGACGGUACCCUCAAAGGAAGCACCGGCUAACUCCGUGCCAGCAGCCGCGGUAAUACGGGGGGUGCAAGCGUUGUUCGGAUUUAUUGGGCGUAAAGCGCGUGUAGGCGGUUUUAUAAGUCUGAUGUGAAAGCCCUGGGCUCAACCCGGGAAGUGCAUUGGAUACUGUAAGACUUGAAUACGGGAGAGGGUAGUGGAAUUCCUAGUGUAGGAGUGAAAUCCGUAGAUAUUAGGAGGAACACCGGUGGCGAAGGCGGCUGCCUGGACCGAUAUUGACGC
This 400-nucleotide ribosomal RNA is filed under the name uncultured bacterium. RNAcentral's name for it is "bacterial SSU rRNA". It matches the Rfam family "Bacterial small subunit ribosomal RNA", at positions 355 to 746 of the family's 1533-position model. The record is from RNAcentral.